This is a non-coding RNA of Equus caballus (horse), 5134 nucleotides long. The record is from RefSeq and is a predicted model, not a curated record. Lineage: Eukaryota; Metazoa; Chordata; Mammalia; Perissodactyla; Equidae.
AAAAAAAACCCAACAUAUCAGGAUGGCUUUGUAAAGACAAUUGUCAAAAAAAAAGACUAGAGAAGAUCAAUAAAUACUAAUUUGAUUCUUUGAAAAUGCCAGUGAAAUUGCUUAGCCACUUAGAGUCUAUUAAUGAAAAUGAUGGAGUAAAAAUAUGGCAACUAACCAAAGAGUAGCACAGAUAUAUUUGUUGAAUCAUGAAUUUGUAGAUUGGGAACUGUGUGCUGGGCAUGUACUAAGCACCUUAUUUCAUUUAAUCUUCAGAAAAGACCUUUGAGAUGGGCAUAACUUUCAUCCUCAUUUUACAUGUGAAGAAGCUGAGGCUUCAAGAGAUUAGAGAGAGUUUUCUGGAAGGUGCCUGCUGUACCACAUGCAGUGAAUAGACACGUAUAGUGUUUCUGGAAGAUGAACCCAGGUAUCUACCUGCUGAUUUUCCUCAGGGAACCAAGAAACCUGUCAUCAUCGGAGACCCCAAACAUUGGAUUUCGAAAACAAUACAGACAAUUAGAGCAGAGAAAUGGAAGGAGAAAGAGGAAAUGGGGGAGAGAGGAAGAAAGGGAUGGGGGCAAAGUGUGGGACGGGUAGAUCCAGCUGCAUCUGAAGCAAGAACUACUGCUGGACCCUUGCUAAAAGUCCAUCACUUCCAUUGGCAAUCUCAAGUAUGGCCAGAGCCUCAUUAUCAAAUAUAUGUGACCAUCCCAGACUGACAUCUCCAGACCAGACCCUCCUGUGAGCUACAGACUUGCUGUUCCAAAUGCUGACUUAUCCUCUCCACUAGGAUGUCUCCAAGAUACACAUGGAGUUCUCUUUUUGGAAGUUCACAUGCUUCUAAGGCAUUGACACUAUCCUGGACUCCAGGAAGAAACAUGUGCCUCAGGUCUGUCCAAAUAUAACAUUCCUUUGGCCCCAGUGUUUGGAUUAGGGAUGGCACAUGGCCCUGUUAGAGCCAACAAGAAACAAUGUAAGGAAACUAUACAAGGUGAACUGUAAGGAAAUUUUCCUUUUCUUCUUCUUCUCUUCCUCCUCUUCCUUCUCAAAGAAAAUGCUCUUGACUAGGUCCAAGAAUGACAGUGAGCUUUUGGUUUAACUAGAGCGUCUAUAAAGCUGUUAUUUCAGGCUGCUUUUCUUCCAAUAGUUGUAAAUUAUGCUUUGGACAUUUAUUUUUGGUAGUGACCUUGAAAGCCUUUUGAUUCUCUGUACAACAGGUAAUUAAAGGCAAGCAAAAGAAGAUGCUUUAAGAUUAAAAAAAAAAAUAAAACUUGUAGUAGUAUUUACUCUUGAAACUUUCAUUUUUAAAAGUCUUAGAUGUUAACCUAGAUGUAAACUAGAUGUUAACCAGGGUUUUAUUGACCUAUAAGAUUUCAAUAAGACUGCUAGAAACUUCAUUUCUUACUCUACUAACAGUAUGACCAUCUCUGCAAGAUUUUCUUGGUUCCCAAGGGGCUUACCUUCUCAAAAUCACUGCUACCUUUAAGAUUCUUCAUUCAUUCAUUUGCUCAUCUAUUCCUUCAACCAACAAGUAUUUAUUGAACACUACAUGCCAGACACUAUUUUAGGUCCUUGAGAUGAGUGAAAUAACCUCUGAUGAAUAAGGUCAGUUUGGGGGCUGUCUGUCCAUUCUGCCUCAGUCUGCUUCAUGCCACAGGACCCAGAGGCAAGAAUUUAGCCUUUCUCCUCACUUUUCACCAAACCACUUAUUUAAGGGAUUUUCAUGUCUAGGUUUUUCUGAACUUUUGGAUAAACGGAGAGUUUUACACUGAAGUAACACAUAUAAAUUAAAAUUCACUGUAAGGAAUUCCCGUUUUUAGAAGUCCUGUAGCUAUUUCCCUAAGUUGAGCUCCAGGCUUCCCGGCUGUGUUUGGAGCCCUCUUUGCCCCUCAUUCUAUCUUCUUUGUUCUCUCCCUUUUCUCACUUUUGAUCCUCUGUAUAACAGGAAAUUAAAAGCAAGAAAAGAGGCUAUUUUAUUUUUAUUUUUGUUUAGGGAUUUAUUUUCAGUGCAGAGAAUUUUAGUUAUUUCUUCUGUUGUCUUUGCUUUCGCCAACCUUUACCCACUCACACUUUCCCCUAACUCACUUUCUUGUCAGUGCAUUUUCCUAUGCAAAAUUGGUUCCCGCCACAGAAACAAACCUGGUGCUGUCUUUUAAAGAAAUAAUUUUCACACUGCUCUGAGUAUUUCUUUCCUAGAAGUGAGAGGUGCUGUGAUACAUUGAUGACUAACAUCCGACAAACUGGUUGGACUAGUGGUGAAAGCAGUUAAGAUUAUUCGCUGUGCAGCCACAUAUAUAAUCUGGAAAUCUUUAUUUACCAGUGGACUAGGAAUACCUCGUGACAGUAACGCAGUCCAAGAAGGCUAUUAUUUCCAGAUAAAUUUUUUUCAAUCUACAUUUUUUAAUUUAAACACAAAAAUGGGCUCUUUUCAAUCUGUUUUCUGUUUCUUAGCAUGGCGGUUCCAUCCAGACCACAGUUGAUCUUAGUAUUAGAAUCAUUAUUCUGUAAAAAGGCUAGGCUAUAAAUCAUAACUUUUUAUGUGAGGAAAAGAACAGGGAGAAUAGUGAGAUUGAGAAAUGUAUAUUUUGGGAAAAGUCAUCCUGAAAUCUUUGCUCAUUUUUCUUCUUUUAUUUUUUCUUGAUUUAGAUUUGCAAAGAUUCUUUAAUUUGUAGGGGGUACAAUUAUGGAAUCAAUCUCUUUGAAAGUUAUGAAAACACAAUCUUUUCAAUUUCAAGUUAGAAGUGUAAGGCACAGUUUAUCAUACUAUUCUUGUUAACCCUAAACAAACAAACAAAAAACUCUUUUUUCCUCAAUUAAUUUAUUGAGAUCAUAAUGGUUUAUAACAUUGUAUAAUUUCAGGUGUUCAUUAUUAUUUACCAAUUUUUGUAUAAACUUUUAAAGAUAUAGAUUCUAAUGAAUUUGGUUUCCCUAUCACAUGAACCAUAUGUUUUUGAUAUUACAUUGCUUACCACUUCUGUUGGCAAUAUUCUGCUGUUGAAGUUGGCAGAGACAGAAUCAGAGAACAAUAUAAAUUUUUUUUAAAAAUCUGAAAACCUUGAAAAAGAGUUGCCUUUGACAAAAUACAAGUUCUAGUAAUUAAGUCACUCCUUUUCCUUCCCCUCCUUUCUCUUCCUUUCCCAUCCCGUUUUCCCCUGUUUCCCCCUCUCCUUUCUCUUCUCAUCUAAGUUGGAGAACUUGCAAAUAUCAAGCAAAACGAAAUGGCUGUGUAGGAUCAUAGCAUGUGUUCAGGCAGACAGAGAGAUUAUUAUCUCUUUCUUUCCCCAAAUAGGGAUCCAUCAAUUUUCUUCUCUUAGAAGUACUUAGAGAAUGUAGAUCUGACUUAAAAAUUACUCUAAUUAUGUUUUAUCAGUCUACAUUUUCUCUAAAAGGCUUUGCAGUUUGACCUGUCCAUUUGUUCUGAACUGCUCAAAGAAAACAGAAAUAUGAGUAGAGAAAUAUGGAAUCCAGUUACAAUUAACUUUAAAGUUUGAUGUUAAUCGUGCUGUUUAUGCUACUCAGGAAACAUUUUAUUUAUCUAUCAAAUAUAUAUAUUGUAUCAGCUGCUGUCUAAGAUUUCUUCUGGCUUUUAAGUUUUAAGAGUCCAUGAUACUAAGUAUCACUUUGUUUUGUAUUAAAGAAUGACAUUAUCUAAUGUAAAAUUAUCACUCACCAUAAUUGGUGCAGUCCAUGGCUAUCUCAAUACCACCUGGUAAUAAAAUUUACUGCUUCUAUUACACUUCAAUUCUUCAAACAAACAAAAUUUUAAAACCAGUAUAGUGGACAUUUGAUGAUAUCUUGUUUGAUAACCCUCUUCUAAAUCUCUUUUCCAAACACUUGCUAGUUUCUAUUUGGGUAUCUUGUGGUGGAGCCAAAAACCUAGGCUAAACCAAUCAGAGCAAUUCAUUUCCUUGGUUAUGUACUUUGGUUCAGGGGUUGCCAUCCCAUUCUUAUGUCAUCUAAUCUGGCCCAAUCAAGGUGAAAUUCAGGGUUUCGCUAAGAAUUCUGGAGUAAAGAUGAUCUCCUUUCCUGCUAGAUGUGAAUUAGAAAGCACAUAUCCCAAGGUAUUAGCAGCCAUCUUGGGAUCACAAAAUAAGUCAGUUUUAGGAAUAUAGAAACAUCUUGGAAGGCAGAGAGAAAUAUGGAACACGCACGCACACAUACACACAACUUUUGUGUCAAAAUUGAGUCUAAACUUUUUAGAUAGGUGAGCUAAUAAAGUCCCUUUAUCUUGUAAGCCAGAUUGAGUCAGGCUUUCCUUUAUUGGUGACCAAAGCCAAUGCUUAGCUUUCUGAGUGUGCUAGAGAAAGGAAGUUCAUGAGAUUAAUCAUAAUUAUAGGGUGAUCAAAGCAACUUUAUGAUGAAACAAAACUAUAAGAGAUCCCCAAAACACCAUGAAGAGUCCUCAGCUUGUUAAGCAAAAUGGUGAUAUAAUGGAAAAAGGAUGGGCUUUGGAGUAAGGUGAACUUUAGUUUAAAUCCUGACUCAUUUACUUAGUAUAAGUAUUAGCUAACAUCUAUUGACCAGUUGCUGUGUGCUGAGUGCUUCACAUUCAUUAUCACAUGUAAUCCUUUUAAUGACCCUGUUACUGAUACUAUUUUUAUCUCUAUUUUACAAGUGAGAAAACUAAGGGUUGGAGAAGCUAAGUACAUAGUCAUUAUGUGGCUUAGCUAGGUUUCAACCCAGAUGUGCACUAUCCAGUGUCUUCAUUUUUACUUGCUCUAUCUUUGAAAAAGGGUGGUCCACAGGUGUAUUUUAUUUAGCCUGUGUAUUAUAUUUUUAAAAUAUUUGAGCCAGCAUUUAAAAAUUGGAGAAUUUGAUGUAAAGAUCUAGACUUGCAUCUUUCCUUGGAAAAUGAGGUCUGGCCACUCUGUGUCUGCAUUCCCAGGAGAACUAUUGGCUGGAGGGUUACUAUGUCUGCUCCAUUUAGUCAAGACAUGCCGUCCACAGUUAACCAUAGUUUCUAUCCUUCCAUAUUGCCCUGACUCCAAAGCUGUGUCAGUAACCAGUGAUCUUUUCUUUCACGUUAUUGCUUUUCUCAUAAUAGAGAAAUAUUUAUCUGUCCCUAUGAAGAUUAAGGAUGAUCUACAGGGUGGGUAUUUUCAGAGAAAAGGAGUGUCCUCUUUUUUUUCUUUCAGAUUUAUUGAGA